UAAAUUGAGAGUUUGAUCCUGGCUCAGGAUGAACGCUGGCGGCGUGCCUAAUACAUGCAAGUCGAACGAAACUUCUUUAUCACCGAGUGCUUGCACUCACCGAUAAAGAGUUGAGUGGCGAACGGGUGAGUAACACGUGGGCAACCUGCCCAAAAGAGGGGGAUAACACUUGGAAACAGGUGCUAAUACCGCAUAACCAUAGUUACCGCAUGGUAACUAUGUAAAAGGUGGCUAUGCUACCACUUUUGGAUGGGCCCGCGGCGCAUUAGCUAGUUGGUGAGGUAAAGGCUUACCAAGGCAAUGAUGCGUAGCCGAACUGAGAGGUUGAUCGGCCACAUUGGGACUGAGACACGGCCCAAACUCCUACGGGAGGCAGCAGUAGGGAAUCUUCCACAAUGGGCGAAAGCCUGAUGGAGCAACGCCGCGUGGGUGAAGAAGGUCUUCGGAUCGUAAAACCCUGUUGUUAGAGAAGAAAGUGCGUGAGAGUAACUGUUCACGUUUCGACGGUAUCUAACCAGAAAGCCACGGCUAACUACGUGCCAGCAGCCGCGGUAAUACGUAGGUGGCAAGCGUUAUCCGGAUUUAUUGGGCGUAAAGGGAACGCAGGCGGUCUUUUAAGUCUGAUGUGAAAGCCUUCGGCUUAACCGGAGUAGUGCAUUGGAAACUGGGAGACUUGAGUGCAGAAGAGGAGAGUGGAACUCCAUGUGUAGCGGUGAAAUGCGUAGAUAUAUGGAAGAACACCAGUGGCGAAAGCGGCUCUCUGGUCUGUAACUGACGCUGAGGUUCGAAAGCGUGGGUAGCAAACAGGAUUAGAUACCCUGGUAGUCCACGCCGUAAACGAUGAAUGCUAAGUGUUGGAGGGUUUCCGCCCUUCAGUGCUGCAGCUAACGCAAUAAGCAUUCCGCCUGGGGAGUACGACCGCAAGGUUGAAACUCAAAGGAAUUGACGGGGGCCCGCACAAGCGGUGGAGCAUGUGGUUUAAUUCGAAGCAACGCGAAGAACCUUACCAGGUCUUGACAUCUUCUGACAAUCCUAGAGAUAGGACUUUCCCUUCGGGGACAGAAUGACAGGUGGUGCAUGGUUGUCGUCAGCUCGUGUCGUGAGAUGUUGGGUUAAGUCCCGCAACGAGCGCAACCCUUAUUGUUAGUUGCCAGCAUUAAGUUGGGCACUCUAGCAAGACUGCCGGUGACAAACCGGAGGAAGGUGGGGAUGACGUCAAAUCAUCAUGCCCCUUAUGACCUGGGCUACACACGUGCUACAAUGGACGGUACAACGAGUCGCAAGACCGCGAGGUUUAGCAAAUCUCUUAAAGCCGUUCUCAGUUCGGAUUGUAGGCUGCAACUCGCCUACAUGAAGUCGGAAUCGCUAGUAAUCGCGGAUCAGCAUGCCGCGGUGAAUACGUUCCCGGGCCUUGUACACACCGCCCGUCACACCAUGAGAGUUUGUAACACCCAAAGCCGGUGGGGUAACCUUUUGGAACCAGCCGUCUAAGGUGGGACAGAUGAUUGGGGUGAAGUCGUAACAAGGUAGCCGUAGGAGAACCUGCGGCUGGAUCACCUCCUUUCUAAGGA
RNAcentral lists this ribosomal RNA (1571 nucleotides) under Ligilactobacillus animalis. RNAcentral describes it as "Lactobacillus animalis 16S ribosomal RNA". It matches the Rfam family "Bacterial small subunit ribosomal RNA". The record is from RNAcentral. Lineage: Bacteria; Bacillati; Bacillota; Bacilli; Lactobacillales; Lactobacillaceae.